Long non-coding RNA from Choloepus didactylus (southern two-toed sloth), 409 nucleotides. RefSeq lists it as uncharacterized. The record is from RefSeq and is a predicted model, not a curated record. The transcript is spliced from 3 exons. NCBI's taxonomy places the organism in Eukaryota, Metazoa, Chordata, Mammalia, Pilosa, Megalonychidae.
CUUGAGUCCUGGGCAGAGCAGAUGGCUGCAUCCUUCCAUGGCCCCGGUCUUUAAAGCAGUGAUUCACUGGAAGCUCCUCUGAAGGCCAUGCCAGGAGAGCGAGGGGUUGCCCCGUUUCUUGGUUCAUGACCCCGUCCUGCUGUAAAGCCAGCAAUGGUGCAUUCAGUCCUUCUCAUGCUGCCAUCUCUUUGGUUCUCCGCAACCAGUCUCCUCUACAGGUGCUUUACCGAUGGGAACGAUUUCUAUAUAUUUCCUUGGUACCAAGAGGAACUAUGCAAGGUAACCUAUUACACCAAAUUACUUGUUUUGCUUUCCAUGAUAUAAUAACACAGUAAAAGCUAUUUUAUCCAGUCUGGUGAGAGAGUGGAAAUGGAUUAAAAUGCUUUGUUAAUUAAGAGUUAAUUCCUAC